Molecule: small RNA, 835 nt
Filed under: Histoplasma ohiense
Lineage: Eukaryota; Fungi; Ascomycota; Eurotiomycetes; Onygenales; Ajellomycetaceae
Description: hypothetical lncRNA
Source: RNAcentral
CCACCUGCGACUUGUGAAAAAAUCACGGAAUGGUUUUUUCUUCUUAAAGACGAUGAUCGUGAUCUUGCUAUCAUCAAGUUAUAUACACUCUCCUCUCACAUCCUCCAUCUGUCAACUUUCCACUGUAGUCUCGAGUCUACAUAAAUAUGAGUCUACAUAAAUAUGCUAGUAUCAUUGCUUUCAUGUUUGAACUUUCAGUGAUGUCACUGGAAACUUUCCCCUUACUUUCCUAGGCUUACUGUGUAAGGGGAAAAAAAGAAAAAUUGCACAAAAUCCGUCCGCCAAGUAUUGAUCGACCGCUAACUAGGACCCUUGGCACAUCAGUUUGAUCCUCGCGCCCACUAUCGGCCCAUCUCUAGAGAGUUGAUACCAGGCUCUUAUUAUGUGCGGUUUCGUGAAUGAAAUCGUAACGCAACAUAUAGAAAUGUCCCGAGGACCAAUAAUAAAUCGAAAAUAAGCGUUAUUUUCAGUUUUUCUUGGUGACACAAAUGAACAAUUUUAUCAUUCAAUCACCGAUCAGCCAAAAUUGCUAGGAAUAAAUAACAAAUCAAUUACAGAUCAAGUGGUGACCAUUUCGUGAAUAUAUAUAUAUAUGUCAAUAAUAAGCACGGAUUUUAUUAGCUUCGAACAUCCAUUUCCAGGCUAACAUUGUUAUUGGGGGUCAAAGCAGUUCAUCCUGCGCUAGAUACGCUGGAAAUGGCUUAAUCGUACAAGCAAGAAUCGGCGACUUGCUAUUCUUCAUUAUAUGGGCCAUGGUUAAAAUCAUACAGCCGUCUUGAUGGAGUACUUUAACUGGGGUGUGGAAGAUAGUCACAUAACCAUGUAUAAAUUCGGG